UACGGAGGGGGCUAGCGUUGUUCGGAAUUACUGGGCGUAAAGCGCACGUAGGCGGCUUUGUAAGUUAGAGGUGAAAGCCCGGGGCUCAACUCCGGAAUUGCCUUUAAGACUGCAUCGCUAGAAUUGUGGAGAGGUAAGUGGAAUUCCGAGUGUAGAGGUGAAAUUCGUAGAUAUUCGGAAGAACACCGGUGGCGAAGGCGACUUACUGGACACAUAUUGACGCUGAGGCUCGAAAGCAUGGGGAGCAAACAGG
This 253-nucleotide ribosomal RNA is filed under the name uncultured bacterium. RNAcentral's name for it is "partial 16S ribosomal RNA". It matches the Rfam family "Bacterial small subunit ribosomal RNA", at positions 524 to 776 of the family's 1533-position model. The record is from RNAcentral.